UUAGUGGUUUCUUCAGACUUCUGGAGCCUCGAUUGGUCAGCCGCCUGUUCAUGUCCCCUACUCAUCUUCAUCAACUCCAAAAGUGGAGAUCAUCAAGGAAUCAUUUUACUCAGAAAAUUCAAGCAAUACCUUAACCCAUCUCAAGUGUUUGACCUGACAAAGGGUGGACCUGAAGCAGGGCUGUGUAUGUUCAAGAACUUUGCUCGCUUUCGCAUUGUGAUUUGUGGUGGAGAUGGCAGUGUGAGCUGGGUCUUAUCUCUGAUUGAUGUCUUUGGAUUACAUGAAAAGUGUCAGCUUGCAGUCAUCCCGCUUGGAACCGGCAAUGAUUUGGCCCGUGUCCUGGGCUGGGGUGCAUUCUGGAAUAAAAACAAGUCACCCCUGAACAUCCUC
Molecule: long non-coding RNA, 390 nt
Organism: Trichechus manatus latirostris (Florida manatee)
Lineage: Eukaryota; Metazoa; Chordata; Mammalia; Sirenia; Trichechidae
Exons: 3
Source: RefSeq, a predicted model, not a curated record